RNAcentral lists this ribosomal RNA (128 nucleotides) under Penicillium chrysogenum. Its description in RNAcentral is "partial 28S ribosomal RNA". It matches the Rfam family "Eukaryotic large subunit ribosomal RNA", at positions 1 to 127 of the family's 3401-position model. Lineage: Eukaryota; Fungi; Ascomycota; Eurotiomycetes; Eurotiales; Aspergillaceae. RNAcentral also lists the same sequence under 3 other names. The record is from RNAcentral.
UUGACCUCGGAUCAGGUAGGGAUACCCGCUGAACUUAAGCAUAUCAAUAAGCGGAGGAAAAGAAACCAACAGGGAUUGCCCCAGUAACGGCGAGUGAAGCGGCAAGAGCUCAAAUUUGAAAGCUGGCU